UCAGAGGCUGAUAGGCUCAUCCCACCAGGGUGAGGGGGCAAGACAGGAGACACCGAAAAGGGGACAGGAGAGAUUUUCAUGUGCUACUCUCUGAUAUAACCUCUCAGAAAUAACCGUUGAGCAGCCAGAGGUCAGGCUAUGCAUGAGGCUGGUUCACAGGGCUCAGAUCAAACAUAAUGGACGCUCUGGAAAGUACAAGGCAAUAGUAAACAACCUGAGUAACUGUCUAGGGAAAUGGGGCAGAGCUCCCAGAAGGGCCACUUGAGCCAGAUCCUGACGUAUGCAUAGGAGCUCACUGGUUUUUAAGAGCACAAUUGUAGUUCAGGGUAAUGAAUCCUCAGUUGGAAAUCAGGGAAUAAAGUAAAAUCAUGGGUGUGACGGAGGGUCCUCUCCACCUUAAACUACAGGGCUGGCUGCAGAUGAGCUCAAUAAAGUUGCCAUUUCUACAUGGUGGUGUGGAGACGGAACCAUGGGUGUGAACAGUACUAGCUUUGCUGCCCAGCGGGCACAGUUAGGAGGCCCGGGCUGGCCUUAAAGUCAUGACAGUCUUGCCUCAGCCUCCAGUGUGCUGGGACGAGCGUCGUGUGUCACCUCAACAGUGUAUUCUGUAUUACUGCUAACCCACAGUUGUGGGAGCAGGCAUCUCAGAGCUACCCAGCAUCUCAGAAGGUGACGAAGGAGGUGCCAACUACGACCAAUGGGGCUUAUCUUAAGACUCCCUUGGGGACAAAUAUGCCUGCAGGAGUCCUCGCAUUCUGCUAAAGUGCUCACGGCUCCAGAUGUGCACUGUGGCCUCAGGGCCUUUGCACUGUCUUCCCUUCUGAGCAGCCUCCUUUCCCCAGACGCCUUCAGAACCUACUUCAGGACUUCUUUCUGUUCACCUCCCAGACUCAGGACAGAUCCCCCUUUCACUCUGGAAGGCUGGACAAGAGAGACCCAGAAUCUCUAGAAAACGGGACUGGAUUUCACCCCACAGCCUCAAAACUUGUUUUCGGAAAACUCAAAACACGUCAAGCAAUGACCCA
This is a non-coding RNA of Rattus norvegicus (Norway rat), 1025 nucleotides long. Lineage: Eukaryota; Metazoa; Chordata; Mammalia; Rodentia; Muridae. The record is from RefSeq and is a predicted model, not a curated record.